ACUCCAAUGGAAUGACGUUUGACAUAAUCAAAGAUCAAGGACUUAACCACAAGACAACUGUGAUGCCUCAAGUCAAAGAACUACUUUGCAUUAUCCCAACCAUGAGUUCUCAUGUGACAUGAGUAUGAGAACUCUUCGUUGAUCGCGUUCAGUGAACUCAUUCUCUACUGAGCACCUAUGUACUUGUCUUGAUGUCACACACACCAAUGACUCGAG
Molecule: long non-coding RNA, 216 nt
Filed under: Malus domestica (apple)
Lineage: Eukaryota; Viridiplantae; Streptophyta; Magnoliopsida; Rosales; Rosaceae
Description: long non-coding RNA (MDOM_LNC019569)
Source: RNAcentral